GAAUGAUCCAAUUGCUUUAUAUUAGUUUUCUGGAAUAAUAUUAAAUUGUUACAAAAGUUAUUAAAACGUUUACCGACCCUUUCAAUUUUACAUCUCAAUCGCACGUGAAUUAUCAAGGGACGAAUAAUAGUCGCAAUAAGAUAAUAAUAUAAUUAUUAUUAUUGCACGUACACAUGAGACUUACAAAUAUUUCAAGACCAUCUUACAAUUUAUUUUAUCAUACACAUAUUAUAUACGCACGUUUUCAUAAAAUCCACAGCAGCUUCGUUUCACAGAUGACCGCAUUAUGAUGUUCAGUAAUCAUAUGAUUUCAUCUUCCAUGGCUUCAUGGCAGAAUAUUCUUCAUGAAAAAUAUCAAACAAUUCGUCAAUCUUAACGUAAUACAACAAUUUGUACGUCAACUAGUCU
Long non-coding RNA from Aphis gossypii (cotton aphid), 408 nucleotides. RefSeq lists it as uncharacterized. The record is from RefSeq and is a predicted model, not a curated record. Lineage: Eukaryota; Metazoa; Arthropoda; Insecta; Hemiptera; Aphididae. The transcript has 3 exons.